AAAGGUUCCAUGUGAACGGCA
This 21-nucleotide non-coding RNA is filed under the name Arabidopsis thaliana (thale cress). Lineage: Eukaryota; Viridiplantae; Streptophyta; Magnoliopsida; Brassicales; Brassicaceae. RNAcentral also lists the same sequence under 1 other name. The record is from RNAcentral.